GAUCUAUACUAUCGUACACACAGUUUGGUAAUAGUUUAUAUAUGAUAUAUACUUUAUGUAUUUUGUUGAUAUAUUUGUUACUGUGUUUCAAAUACAUGUUCAUAUAUGUAACUAGUGUGUUAAAUAUCUAUAUAUAUUUCUAUUUUAUGUUAUAAUUUGAUUAUGUUUUCGGAUCGGAUCAUGUCAAUACGCCGUUUUCACAUAUACGUGUAUGAGGCGUGACAUUUGUGUUACCCGGUCCAGUUGCGAUGAUCGCAAUUUUGCGCUAGCAACGCCGUUGUUUUUUUUUAAUUCAUAUUUUUUUUAUAUACAUAUAUUUAGAUCUGCACAUUUUUUUCAUAACUAACUACCCUGAUUUUUCCUAAACCCUGACAAUUUCGUCACAAACUCUAAAUUUCAAACCUAAAACUUUAACCGUGUUGUUUCCUCUAAACCAUAAACCUUUUCUUAAACCUUAACAAACCUUAUUAUUAUUUCCUAUUUUCGCUCAUAUUUAUGUUAUUCAUACACUGUAACUGCUUCGCCCUUGUAAUAUUUUAAGUUUUAACUUGUAAUAUUUUCAGUUUUACUUUUCGCCAUCUUUAUUAUGUAACUGCACCAAAGCGUUGUAAUAAUUAGGGUUUUAUUUUCUGCCAUUUAUUUUCUGCCAUUUUAUUUUUCUGCCAUUUAUUUUUCUGCCAUUUAAAUUCCUGCCAUUGAUCCUAUAUUAACUGCGUGGUUUAGUAAUGUAGGGCGUGAAAACCUACUAAAUUAAUUAUUUAAUAUUUUUCUAUAACCUUUAUAUUUUUUGUAAAUAAAUAAUAAAUACUAACUAUUUUAAUAACUUUUUUUUUAUUACUUACUUAUAAUAAUAAAUCCUUAUAUAUUUUGUAAAUAAAAUCUAAUUGACCAUUUUUCUAAUUGAAU
RNAcentral lists this long non-coding RNA (906 nucleotides) under Lathyrus oleraceus (garden pea). Its description in RNAcentral is "Pisum sativum (pea) long non-coding RNA (PSAT_LNC038920)". Lineage: Eukaryota; Viridiplantae; Streptophyta; Magnoliopsida; Fabales; Fabaceae. The record is from RNAcentral.